CACUAAUUGGCCAGUUAGACACCUGGAUCACUCACGCUUCCCCAGGAGGAGACACCACUGUCACAGGGCUUGACCCAGAGCCAGAGCCAGGCGUCAGAUCCACGCACCGUAUCAGGUUUCUUGUCUGCCAGCUAUCGUCAACGUUCUGGACGUUUGCCAUCAGCAGAGAUCAACACAAUCUCGCUGGGGUUGAUCCGUCAGGUGGGGAUCCUCUGCGGUUUUUGAGGGCUGUCACCGGCUGAAUCCCCAGGGGAGGUCCUGCCCAGCGUGGCGCCAUGCUGAUGGGCCUUCCCUCGCCCUGGCAACCAGACUGGGGUUAAAUUAAGAAAGGCUAACCCCAGAGCUGUGGUGAAGACGAGGGCGAGGUCAAGCGUUCUGGUCUGCUUUGAUGAUGGUGGAGGCUGGAGGGCGCAGCAGACGGUAGCUCUUCAUCUGGAGCCGACAGGCCAAGGACGGAUCGAGGGCUCCUGAUCCCUAAUGUUGCUCCUUUUGGGUGCUGCAAUGUGAAUGCAGCUGAGAUGGACAUCGUGGAUUUAGUCUAAUGCAUUUUUUGCUGUUCAUUCUUUUACAUUAGUCCUAUUUAAUAAAAAUGCAU
Mugil cephalus (flathead mullet) is the source of this 595-nucleotide long non-coding RNA. RefSeq lists it as uncharacterized. The transcript is spliced from 3 exons. The record is from RefSeq and is a predicted model, not a curated record. Lineage: Eukaryota; Metazoa; Chordata; Actinopteri; Mugiliformes; Mugilidae.